GUACAUGUACCACAUUUUCUUUAUUCAAUCUGUCAUUGAUGGGCAUUUGGGUUGACUCCACGUCUUUGUUACUGUGAAUGGUGCUGCAAUGAAUACUCAUGCCCAUGUGUCUUUAUGAUAGAAUAAUUUAUACUUCAAAAAAUAUUAAGAUAGAACUGAUAGAACUGCAACAAUACACAAAUCUGCAAUUAUACUUAAAGAUUUCAACACUUGUCUCUCAGUAAUU
This 226-nucleotide long non-coding RNA is filed under the name Pan troglodytes (chimpanzee). RNAcentral describes it as "long non-coding RNA NONPTRT010390". Lineage: Eukaryota; Metazoa; Chordata; Mammalia; Primates; Hominidae. The record is from RNAcentral.